Molecule: ribosomal RNA, 253 nt
Filed under: uncultured bacterium
Lineage: Bacteria
Description: partial 16S ribosomal RNA
Rfam family: Bacterial small subunit ribosomal RNA
Source: RNAcentral
UACGAAGGGGGCUAGCGUUGCUCGGAAUCACUGGGCGUAAAGCGCACGUAGGCGGAUCUUUAAGUCAGGGGUGAAAUCCCCAGGCUUAACCUGGGAACUGCCUCUGAUACUGGAUGGCUUGAGUUUGGGAGAGGGAUGCGGAAUUCCAGGUGUAGCGGUGAAAUGCGUAGAUAUCUGGAGGAACACCGGUGGCGAAGGCGGCAUCCUGGACCAACACUGACGCUGAGGAGCGAAAGCCAGGGGAGCAAACGGG